Ameiurus melas (black bullhead) is the source of this 75-nucleotide non-coding RNA. NCBI's taxonomy places the organism in Eukaryota, Metazoa, Chordata, Actinopteri, Siluriformes, Ictaluridae. The record is from the annotation of a GenBank genome assembly.
CGCACGAUGGCUUAGUGGUUAGCAUGUUCGGCUCAUACCCCUCCAGGGUCUGGGGUUCGAUUCCCGCCAGUGCCG